GAAAAUUUGCACACACUUAUUUCGGUGCAAAAUAAAAACUCGCUAUGAGACGACAAUUUGACACUGUUUACGCCGGCUAAGUCAGUUUUCAACUAAAUUUUCGCACGCAGUUCGUACAGUUAAUACGGUCAAGCUAAAUGUUCAAAGUCGAUUUUGACUUUCGGUUUGGCUCCGAUCGCCUUUAUUAUUAUUUUUUUCAUUUUCCAUUAAAUUAACAAACAACGA
Non-coding RNA from Cinara cedri, 225 nucleotides. NCBI's taxonomy places the organism in Eukaryota, Metazoa, Arthropoda, Insecta, Hemiptera, Aphididae. The record is from the annotation of a GenBank genome assembly.